Helianthus annuus (common sunflower) is the source of this 4228-nucleotide RNA transcript. RefSeq lists it as uncharacterized. Lineage: Eukaryota; Viridiplantae; Streptophyta; Magnoliopsida; Asterales; Asteraceae. The record is from RefSeq and is a predicted model, not a curated record. The transcript is spliced from 19 exons.
GAUCAAAGUUGCUGUCACUGCCACUUGGCAGCUUCUAAUAAGUUCACUGUAUCCGGGACCCACUCAUAUCGAUUUUACUCUAUCCACCCCUCUUCUCGUGCUCCCGCAAAAAAAAAAAAAAAAAAAAAAAUCAGUUUGGUUCGUUGGCGCUGCUUUAUUCAUGCAAAAAAACGGAGACGAAGAUCGAAUUACAACAAUAAACCCUAGUUUUCUAAAAUCGAUAUGUACGGUUAGUUUGCUACUUUAAUAUUUUGCAAUUUUGAUCAUAGAUCCUAUUCGUACAUCUGUAAUCCACAUACACGGAUGCAUGUAAGGUUUAUCGAAUUAUCGAGCGAUUGUUAUGCGAGUCACUGAUUUGAUGUAUGUUUUAGAUUCACAAGUUGUUUCGUUGUUUGAAUCGGUAUUUGAUUUUUGUAUCUUAGAGUUGGAAUGUUGUGAUUAAGUUGUUUGAAAGAGUAAUAGUGAGGGUUUUGAAUCCUAAUUUUUAGGAAUUAGGGUUUACGUUGUGUUAUUUGAUAGUUUCUGAAGUUGUUGAGGAGUACGGUUAGGAUGGGGGAAGGGGAGGGUUGUGUGGUGGUGGUGAGUAAUGUUGGGGAAAUGGAAGAUGAGAAAAAUCAGCAAAAGCGUGACCGGCAGUGGCUAACGGGUGAUUCUGAUAGGGAAUGUGUGGCCAAAAAACAGGGAAAAGAGGGUUUAGGUGAGGAUGAAGUUGAUCGUUGUGCUAUGAAUCAAUCAGAGGUUGCUCUGGAUUCUGUUGAAGAAAAGCCUUGUGCUAACGGGAUGCUCACGGAGGGUUUAGAUGUUACUAAACUUGAGCCAUGUGGUAGAAGACAAACAGCAGAAGCUCUAAGUGACAAUAUGGCAAACACUUCUGAUAAGGUGACAGUACAAGAGACCUGUGAAAUUAUGCAAGCACAUGACUCUUUAAAUUGUAUUGGUGUAAAUCGUUCGAUUGAGCAGUUUGUUAAUGACGAUUUAAAUGACAUGGAGCUAGAUUCUGCUGGCGAGAAGCGCUCGUCAGGAGUUUCAAAUGAUAUGGAAAUGGAGACUGUAAUUGAGCAGCCUGUUAAGGAGUGCCCGGAUGAGAUGGAACUAGAAACGCAUGGUAGUAUGCAGAGAACAGGGGUUGAAAUUGACAUUGAACCAGAGUCUUUUAUUAAGCAGCCUGUCAAAGAAUGUUCACAUGAGAUGGAAACCGAUGGUUUUGUCAAGAUUCAACCAACAGAUCCUUUGAAUGAGAAUGCACCAGAUUCUUCUGUUCAGCAACCCGUUAAAGAAUGUCUGCAUGAUAUGGAAUUAGAGGUUUGCGUAAGGAAGCAGACAACACAAUCUUCAAAUGAUAUUGAAAUAGAGUCUUCCUCUGUUACCAAGCAGACAUCACAGGCCUUGGAUAAUACUACACUGGAGUUUUCUGCUGAUAAAUUUAUUAAGGAGUGUCAAAAUGAGAUAGUAUUAGAUCCUUGCUCCAAGAAGGAGGUGAAUGAGGCUUCAAAUGAUGAUAUAAGUUCUGAGGUUUCGAAUCCAAAUGUAUCUCCUCGUGAUAAUUCUUUGAGUUUCCAGACUGUUAAUAGCCAACCAGAUGGAAAGCUUGUCAUGACAGGCCAAGCUGUUUGCGGUGAAAUUACGUCGGCUUGUAUUGGGAACUCAGGCAGUGAGGGGAGCUCAAGCCAAGAAGAACAGUGUACAAAUAAUACAUCUGUUACAGUGUCAACAUCACAUGUUGUAUUAGAGGUUCCAAAGCAUGCUAGUACUUCUUCUGGUAUUAGGAAAAUCACCUUCAAGUUCAGCAAACGGAAGGAAGACUAUGGUAAUCAAUUGUCUGCAUCUGCUGUGAAACGUAUGGGUGGUGGUUUCGAUAAUGGUACCCGUAAGGUACCCAGGUUAACCUAUGUUAGUGAGCAAGGGCUGCAUGAACCUGGUGAUUCUAUUCCUGAUAGUUAUCCUACUACUGUUAAAAAGCUCUUAUCAACUAGAAUACUGGAUGGAGCCAAAGUGAAAUAUAUUUCUACCUCAGGGGAGCUUAUUGGAAUUAUUAAGGACUGUGGAUAUUUAUGUGGAUGUGCAACAUGUAAUUUUUCUAAUGUUCUUCGUGCUCAUGAGUUUGAGGGACAUGCUGGUGGAAAAACUAGGCACCCUAAUAAACACAUAUAUCUGGAAAAUGGAAAACCUAUUUACAGCAUAAUUCAGGCAAUGAAAACUGUUCCUUUCAGCACCGUAGAUGAAGCAAUAAGAAAUGUAGCUGGUUCAUCUGUCAAUGAGGAACUCCUCCAGGUUUGGAAAGGGAGUCUUCAAAGAAACACCGACAAGGAUAAGAUAGAUGAAAUCCAUCAUUCAAAGCUUAUGAAUUUGUAUCAUUCAACAGCAAGCUGCACCAGCCACACGCGAGAAGAUUGUUCAAGCCCGUUCUAUUGUUAUCGUAAGAGCUUCACUUUGGAACCUCCAACAUUUGUUAGUGAGACCUUGAAGGAGCGGAAAGACCUGUUUAAGAAGCCAAGGUCAUACACAUAUAGCCCUGUUGUUGAAACCAAACGAAGUGCUGAAGGUGGCCAAAGGAAAAGGGAUAAUGAUUUACAUCGCUUACUUUUUAUGCCUAAUGGGCUUCCAGAUGGGACUGAACUGGCUUAUUAUGCCAGAGGGAAGAAGAUACUUGAUGGUUACAAGCAAGGGAAUGGUAUAUUUUGUAGCCAUUGUGACACCGAGGUCAGUCCUUCACAGUUUGAAGCUCAUGCUGGAUGGACUGCCAAACGGCAACCAUAUCGCCAUAUAUAUAUUUCUAACGGCCUGUCACUCCAUGAUAUAGCUCUGUUACUUGCAAAUGGUCAAAGUAUUGCCACUAGCAAUAGUGAUGAUAUGUGUACAGUAUGUGGAGAUAGAGGAGAGCUGGUUUUUUGUGAUGGCUGCCCUCGUGCUUUCCAUGCAGGUUGUUUGGGAUUGGAGGGUGUUUCUUCUGAAGAUCGGCACUGUACGUAUUGUAGAGACAGUGUUGGUUCUGGUAGAAAAGCUACUGCAGAGUCCAGACCGAUUGUUAUCCGACUGACCCGCGUUGUUAAAGCCAGAGAAUACGAAACAGGUGGCUGUGUUAUUUGCAGGGCCCAGGAUUUUAGUGUUGCUGAAUUUGACGACCGGACAAUGAUGUUAUGUGAUCAAUGUGAGAAGGAGUACCAUGUUGGUUGUUUAAGAGAGAGUGGAAGAUGCGAUUUGAAGGCACUCCCGUCUGAUAAAUGGUUUUGUUGCAAUCACUGUGAUUUGAUCCACGGUGCUAUUCAAGAUGUGGUUGUCAGUGGAGCAGCUGUAAUUUCAGGUUCAAUAAUGAGUACAAUUAACAGGAAACACAUAGAGAAAGGUUUUGUUAGUGGAGCUCCAAAUGAAAUUAAGUGGCGGAUGUUAAGUGGGAAAAGCCGCUAUCCUGAACAUUUGCCGCUGCUGUCAAGGGCUGCUGCCAUUUUUCGGGAGUGUUUUGAUCCCAUUGUUGCAAUAUCUGGCCGUGAUCUGAUACCUGUAAUGGUAUACGGGUAACCAUGUGUAUCAUUAUCAGAAAGCACAAAGGCUUUUAAAUAUAAAGGCUUCGUGAACCAUUACAUCAUGACUUUUCAAUAUUCAGGAGAAACAUAUCUGGGCAAGAGUUUGGAGGAAUAUAUUGUGUUGUUCUUAUGGUGGGGUCAAUAGUUGUAUCUGCAGGUCUCCUGAGAGUUUUUGGGCGGGAGGUUGCCGAGCUCCCGCUGGUAGCUACCAGUAGACAACACCAAGGGAAGGGAUAUUUCCAAGCUCUCUUCUUUUGUAUUGAGGAAUUACUCUUGUCAAUGGGUGUUGAACUCCUUGUGCUUCCUGCUGCUGAAGAAGCCGAGUCUAUAUGGACCAAGAAGUUGGGUUUUAGAAAGAUGAGUGAUGAGCGGUACUCAGAGUUCGCGCGGGACAUCCAGCUGACCAUAUUUAAGGGAACAUCAAUGCUUGAGAAGGAAUUGCAUCACGCUACAUCAUAAUCUUUUUGUUCUUUCUGCUUCGUGUCUGCUGGACGAGAGUCAAUAUCGACGCAUAAAGCUCAAGUUAUAUAAAGAUUUUUUUUUAGCUUUAAAGGCAGUCUAGUUUUUAUAAACUGAGAAAGCACAAACUAGAGGAAAAUGGGCAUGUAAGCCUUUGCUUUUAUUUGGCAUACAUAUAUGGAUGUAAAUUGAAAGGGUUCUCGAGACAAGUUGAACACAUUUCGAAACGUGCUUUAUAUUUGUAUUUA